RNAcentral lists this long non-coding RNA (2027 nucleotides) under Nicotiana tabacum (common tobacco). RNAcentral describes it as "long non-coding RNA (NTAB_LNC012402)". The record is from RNAcentral. Lineage: Eukaryota; Viridiplantae; Streptophyta; Magnoliopsida; Solanales; Solanaceae.
UUAUUUCUCUUCUCCUCUCCCCCUUUCUUCUUCCUCUCUCUUUUCUUUCUCCUCCCGGCAGCUCCGCCCGUCGCCGCCCAGCGCCGCUGAGGCCAACCUACAAUCCACCCCAAUAUAUUACCAUCUCUUCCUCUCACUCCCCUCACUCCUAAUCCGAGUCCCAAAUCCUCAAAAACCUCUCUAAACACCGUGAAAUCGAAACCCUAGAUAGUCACCUCUUACUUCUCUCUUCGAUUUUUCGGCAAAUCAGCCACUACACACCCACAAAACCUAUAUAAAUGCAUAGAUCUCAAAGAGAUAUACACUUUCCCUAUUGCCCCACCCAAAAAUAACACACCGUCGCCGGCCAGCAACCCCACUGCCAACACCAAACGCAUCAACCUCUGUUUCUUUUCUAUUAUCGACUUAGAGGAGCUCGUUUCCUUCUAGCACGAUGACAAACUUAUUUGUUUUGGCGCUUGCUAAGAGAAAACGUGCGCUUCAAGGUCGAGCAACCACCAUCCGUCGCCCCCGUCAUCCGUCUCGUUGCUCGAAUUGGCAUUGAUUCCCUCUAUAUGGUAAAACAUCAAUUUCCUUUCCCUAUUUUUAUCUUUUCUGGUUUUUUGCUUUUGUUUUAGCAUUAGUUCUAAGGUUUAAUUUCCAUUAAUGUUUCUAUUAUAUAUGUGCAAUAAGUAUUAGUUUUUAAUUACAUUUUACUUUAUAAAUGUGAAUUUCAGUUCUUCGACCUAGCCAGUUGAGUAGUUCGUUAUUGUCUGUUAGUUCUGAUUUUUGGUUCUUCGACCUAACCGAUCGACUAUUUUGUGUGGAUUUGUUAAGUUUGAACUUUCAGUUCUUCGACCUAGCCGGUCGAUUAUUUUUUGUUUGUCUGUUAGUUCUGAUUUUUGGUUCUUCGACCUAGUCGAUCGACUAUUUUGUAUAGAGUAUUUAAGUCUGAAUUUUCAGUUCUUUGACCUAGUCGGUCGAAUAGUUAAGUCUUUAUGUUAAUUUCAUGAAAAAACCAAAAGAUUGGUUCAAUUGUUUAUAUUAUUAGUCGUAUAUUUAGUUGUUAUUAAUCGUGAUAGUUUAGCGAUGUUCGUUUAAUUUCUGUUUCAAGCAUUAGCUUGUGAAAUUCAGUUGUUAUUCCAUAUUAGUUUGCACAAAUCGAAUUCAUUCUAAUCUAGUUUGUCUGAAUACUUAGUUCAAUUGCAUUUUGAGUCUUGUUUCUACUUUGCUAGUUCAUAUUUGGUUAGAGUUUAAGUGUAUAAGCUGAAUUUCAAUCAUGUAUAGAUAAAAGCUGAAUACUUGAGUUUAAAGUACGUGUUUGUUGGGUAUUUUACUGUUUAAACAUGCUGGAAAUGCAACUACUCUGUUUUGUGUCAGAAUUUGGUGAAACAAUGACUGUUUUGGCACAUAAAAGUUAGUCCUUUUGGACAGAUUUUUGGUGAUUCAAAAUCUGUCCAAAAAGACCUAUUUUUAUUACUUAAAGAGGUCAUUCUUCACACUAAAGGGGGGCUCUAUCUUACAUUAGAGAUCACCUCUUACACUCUAAAAAAGACAUAUAUCUUUGAGAAAAAUCAGCGUUUAAGAUAGAUAGCAAGCUGAAAUUUCAGAUGUUGGUGAGUAUUAUUUGAGUGCAAAAACUCUGACAAAAAAUAGAAACAUGCAUUAGGCAAUGUGUGAAGUUGAUAGCUACGAGUUUCAAGCAUCUUUGUUGAGUUUUCUGGGUUGUCUUAACACUUGAGUUGCUGUUGUUUCUACUGUAUUUGCUGCUAAAUUUCUGUUGUUGCACUGCUAUUUUAUCAUUCUGCAAACUAGGUAACUUUAAAAUUCUUAUAUUGCAGAUUCUUGAUGGUAAUAAGAAGCAUUUGAUUCCGGUUUGGUUGAUGGAACAUGUUAGAUUUGAUUUUGUUUCAAGAUGAAUGUCAUAUUGCUGUUUUCAUCAUGUAAAUAUGUUAGAAAUUAGUUAAAUUAUCGUUUUCUUCUUUAUAUACAUGGUUGAAAUUGUAUUUUGUUAAGUUUACUUAGUUUAAGGAAAAGAUAAAGAGCUC